AAAUUAUUUCUAGUUUUUAUAUUUAUAUUUUAUUUAUUAUUUAUAUAAGAAUUUUCAAAAAUUUUAUAAAUUAUUAAAUAUAAUUUUUUUAAUUUUUAAUUAAUAUAUAAAAUUAUAAAUUUAAAGAAAUUUAAAUAUAAUAUUAUAAAUUAUUAUUGUUAUAAAUUUGUGCCAGCAAACGCGGUAAUACAAAAAAUAAAUUAAAUAUUUUUAAUAAAAUUUAAUAAAUAUCUAAAAAUAUUAAUUUUAUUAUUAUUUUUGAUAAAAUUUAAUUAUAAUUAUAUUAAUAUAUUUAAAAAGAUUAUGAUUUAUUAAAAUUUUAAUUAAACUAGGAUUAGAUACCCUACUAUAAAAUUAAAUUUUAAGUAUUAAAUAAAUUUUAAACUUAAAGAAUAUGGCAGUAUUUUAUUCAAUUUAGAGGAAUUUGUUUAAUAAUUGAUAAUACACGAUUAUUUUUACUUAAAUUAUAUUUGUAUAUCGUUGUUGUAAAAUUAUUUUUAAAUAAAUAAAUAGUUUAUUAUUUAUAAUUAAAUUUAAAUCAGAUCAAGAUACAGUUAUAUUUAAGAAUAUUAUGAGUUACAAUAAAUAUUUUUAUAUUGGAUUAAAAUUUUAAAUUUAUAUGAAAUUGGAUUUAAUAGUAAUAAAAUUAAUUAUAGUUUUAUGAAUUUAGUAUUAAAAUAUGUACAUAUUGCCCGUCACUCUCGUUUAAGUUAUAAUAUAAUUAAUUUAAUUGAGAUAAGUCGUAACAAAGUAAAAAUACUGGAAAGUGUUUUUAGAA
This 778-nucleotide non-coding RNA is filed under the name Paduniella fasciaria. Lineage: Eukaryota; Metazoa; Arthropoda; Insecta; Trichoptera; Psychomyiidae. The record is from RNAcentral.